AUAGACUUUAAAUUUAAAGAAUUUGGCGGUAAUUUAGUCUAGUCAGAGGAACCUGUUCACUAAUCGAUAAUCCUCGAAGUAUCUUACUUAUUUUAAAAGUAUAAUUUUUUUAGUUUGUAUACCAUCAUUAUCAGAUAAUUUCAUUAAAGAAUAAAAUUAUUAAAAUUAAUAUGUUUUCAAAAAAAUUAGAUCAAGGUGCAGCUUAUAAAUAAGUUGAAAUGGGUUACCAUAAAAAUUUAUUUAUGUGGAUUAAUUUUUAAAAAGGGAUUAUAAAAAAGGAUUUGAUUGUAA
Molecule: ribosomal RNA, 291 nt
Filed under: Malagasya goodmani
Lineage: Eukaryota; Metazoa; Arthropoda; Malacostraca; Decapoda; Deckeniidae
Description: partial 12S ribosomal RNA
Source: RNAcentral